Molecule: long non-coding RNA, 256 nt
Filed under: Manihot esculenta (cassava)
Lineage: Eukaryota; Viridiplantae; Streptophyta; Magnoliopsida; Malpighiales; Euphorbiaceae
Description: long non-coding RNA (MESC_LNC000958)
Source: RNAcentral
CCACGUGCGAGAGUUGAGGCGUGAAUGGGCUGUCCGUGGGAAUGUGCGUUAGCUUGGCUUGGUCCUUGUGAAGGGAUAGUGGAGUCCAUGUGCAAGAACGAAGCGGGCCCAGGCUGGAUGAAUGUGCAUGAGUUUGUGACGUGUGCGGGUCCCUGUGCAUGAAUUCAUGAAGUGCGGGAAUGGGCCAUCAAAUUGUGAAUCUAUGUGCAGGAAUGAGCGUCUGGUGGGGCCACGUGUGCGUAAGGGUGAAGUGAUG